RNAcentral lists this ribosomal RNA (484 nucleotides) under uncultured bacterium. RNAcentral describes it as "partial 16S ribosomal RNA". It matches the Rfam family "Bacterial small subunit ribosomal RNA", at positions 30 to 507 of the family's 1533-position model. The record is from RNAcentral.
AUUGAACGCUGGCGGCAGGCCUAACACAUGCAAGUCGAGCGGAUGAAGGGAGCUUGCUCCUGGAUUCAGCGGCGGACGGGUGGGUAAUGCCUAGGAAUCUGCCUGGUAGUGGGGGAUAACGUCCGGAAACGGGCGCUAAUACCGCAUACGUACUGAGGGAGAAAGUGGGGGUUCUUCGGACCUCACGCUUUCAGAUGAGCCUAUGUCGGAUGAGCUAGCUGGUGGGGUAAAGGCCUACCAAGGCGACGAUCCGUAACUGGUCUGAGAGGAUGAUCAGUCACACUGGAACUGAGACACGGUCCAGACCCCUACGGGAGGCAGCAGUGGGGAAUAUUGGACAAUGGGCGAAAGCCUGAUCCAGCCAUGCCGCGUGUGUGAAGAAGGUCUUCGGAUUGUAAAGCACUUUAAGUUGGGAGGAAGGGCAGUAAGUUAAUACCUUGCUGUUUUGACGUUACCAACAGAAUAAGCACCGGCUAACUUCGUG